AUCUACAGUGUUUCUUUAGCAUCUGGCAUUUCUAGCUUCCCCUAUUCUGCUGGGAUGACCUUGGAACCAGAUCCUCAGGCUGAGGACUUGCACCCGUGGUCCUGCAAGUGGAGGAAGUCCAGAAAAGUGGAGACCUGCACUUUCUUUUGGCCUGGACUUGCUGGCAUCCGUGCCUGACUGGAUUGACCAGAGGAUGAAAUGCAAGUCAGUGUUCAGAGAAGUGAUCCCGCAUGGUCGGAUCCCAUAUUAGCCUGCGACAACUGCUUUCUUUGAGAAGGAUCCAGAAUUGAUGUCAGUAUAAGCAUCCAUCCAAUUGCUGCACUUCCUGGCUUUAAGGGACUUGGAUGACUACCCAGAACUUGGCAACUCCAGCAGACUGUUCUCUGCCUUUACCUUUUCCCCAUUCUUCGAGACACUAGCAGGGGUGGUGGCAGCAGCACAGGCUUAUUUCUCUAUCGGUAGAACCCUACUUGUUCUCCCCGGUGACUUCAACCUUUCAUUGGACAAGCUGCCAUCAUUCUGCCUCCCACCACGGUUUUAUUAUACUUUUGACCUCACUCUCAAGCAGUCUCCUCUGACACAGAGCAGGCCAGCAAGAUCUUCCACACCAGGACUGGUGUCCUGCUCAGUAACAGGAGAGAACUAAGAAUGGUUGAGAGAAGAUGGAGAAAAUCCCAGCUUGACUCAGAUCUGUGCUCCUCCCGAUCACAGUUCUUACUUGAUAUAACUGCUGCAAGGUCGUACUUCUCUUGCACCACCCUCUUCUAUUACCUCAAAGGAUUGUUUUUAGAGGAAAAAGACUGGUAGAGUUUCUGUCCCCUUAAUGCCUGCCUUAUGUUCUUGCAGCAUAGCACGUGGUCUUUUGGCAGAGUAGUGUAAACAGCUGCUGACAAUCCAGAGCCAGGACCAGGCCGCAGACAGUCGGGCUAAACCGACCGUCUGCAAUCUGCCUUGAGGCGUCACCCAGGUUCAACUUUGAGACUGUCUUUGCCCCAAACUAAAUCUAAAUGUAGAAAAACGCAAUCAGCCCGUUUCAACAACCUAAUCAAUAUUAAAUCAUAUUCAGAUUACAGCAACACCUGAGAUCUAAAGUUUGGGUUAUUCAUUAUAAGAUCACUGAACUUGAAAGCAGUCAUAAAUGAAAUUGUGAUCAUAAAUUUGACAUUUUCUGUCUCAUUGAAACAUGGGUUAGACGAGAUGAAUAUUCAGCUUUAAAUGAAGCCAUCCCUGUAGGCAAAUCUACCAAAAUACCCUAGAUAUCACCUACGGCCCCCGACUGAUUGUUCCUUUAUUGUUAACAUUGGGGGCGGCUGUACAGAAGGCCGGGACUUUUAUUGUAGAAUCGCCUGAUUUCGUGUUUAGAGUUUCUUGUUUCAUCAGCCUGUAUUAGCAACGGAGCUGUAUUUGUUGGGCACGCUCCGAUUUAUAGUCUAAAUCUUACCUUCAAGCGGAGUUCCCUUUAGUUCUUAAGUAAUGGUGGUGGCAUUUCCUCACAGUCAAUGACGAGAAGUAAGUCAUGUUGUUGUUUCGCGGGUAUCUCCUUUUCGUUUACUUGUCUG
This is a long non-coding RNA of Pygocentrus nattereri (red-bellied piranha), 1559 nucleotides long. RefSeq lists it as uncharacterized. The record is from RefSeq and is a predicted model, not a curated record. The transcript has 5 exons. NCBI's taxonomy places the organism in Eukaryota, Metazoa, Chordata, Actinopteri, Characiformes, Serrasalmidae.